RNAcentral lists this long non-coding RNA (617 nucleotides) under Rattus norvegicus (Norway rat). RNAcentral describes it as "long non-coding RNA NONRATT027216". Lineage: Eukaryota; Metazoa; Chordata; Mammalia; Rodentia; Muridae. The record is from RNAcentral.
UUUUACCGGCCCUCACAGCCUGGCUGCAGCACAGAUGGGCCGUCUUUGUCUGGCUCUCCGCCUUUGUCAUCAUUGGCUUCAGGGCUGAGCUGGCUAUGCUGCUGGGCAUCAUGCUGCUGCUGACCUUGUACCAAAGGAGGAUGUCUGUGGCCAGAUUGCUCCAGCACGCCAUCCCAGCAGGGAUUCUUUGCCUAGGCAAGUUGGCAUCUCGGCUUUGUCUGUGUGUCUGCCAAUGGUUUUGGUAUUUGAGACAGAGUCCGACUGUCUUAGUUACUGUUCUGUUGUGAGGGCACACCAUGACCAAGGCAGCUUAUGAAAGGAAACUUUUAAUUGGGUCUGGCUUACAGUUUCAGAGGAUUAGUCCGUGAUCAUCAUGGCAGGAAGCAUGGCAGGCAGGCAGGUAGGCAUGGCACUGGAGCAGUAGCUGAGAGCUGCAUCCUGAUCCACAGGCAGCGGGGGUGGGGGGUGGGGUGGGGACAAGGCCUGGUGCGGGCUUGUUUGAAACCUCAAAGCCCAGCUCCACUGACACACCCCCUUCAUAAGCCACACCUCUAAUCUUUCCUGAACUGUCCACCAACUAGAACCUAAAUAUUAAAAUUUAUUAGCUCUUGGGGGAU